Molecule: non-coding RNA, 3070 nt
Organism: Misgurnus anguillicaudatus (oriental weatherfish)
Lineage: Eukaryota; Metazoa; Chordata; Actinopteri; Cypriniformes; Cobitidae
Source: RefSeq, a predicted model, not a curated record
CUGUAAAACAUUAUAGCCUCAUUAAGUUAUGUGUACUAACAUUUGCUAUUUAGUUCUACUACACACAGCAAGUUUUAGAUAUUCAACCCAAGUCUGUAAGUUUUCACAAAGUUAAACUUAAAGUUACAUAUUGUCUUAACUACUUGUGAGUUGUCUCUGUGAUGUGAAUGUUCAUUUAACUAACUUCUGUAAGUUAUGAAUCACAACGAGAGGGAGGGGUCGUGUCCAGAAAAGACCGGGAAAAUUUCAGUUAACUUUACCUCAGACACAGCGCUCAUCUGAAAUGACCAAUAAUACAUUUUUUUUGCAAGGCUGCAAAGGAGGUAUGUAUGAUUUUUUUUGUCUUGAUGUAAUAAAGAUGCCCUUUAUACAUUUUUAGAUAAAAAUAUUGAGUUUAAAGUAAAGAAAAUAUGCAGACAUCGAGCCUGCUUUGCGAAUGCGUCGUCGUCAGGAUAUUUAUCUGCUUUCACAUCGAAGCAUCAAAUGUUAAAAGAGUUUAAUACACCAUGGGGACAAUUUUGGAUAUUUCAAUUGGUUGUGCGUAACGUUAUAUCGAUUAUUUUGAUUAUAAAUAUAGCUUACAGUUUAACAUUUAAGCUUAACAGAUUUGUUUGUUCACUGUCAAUGUGAAUUAAUCACGGGCUGAGUCUUAAGCGUUUAAGAAACGGGUAAUGUAUUAUUGUGAUGCUUGAAAGAUUUUUAUCCUCGUGCGAUUAAGGGCACGAGGGGAAUAUGCGUUGAAAUGAACGCAAAUAGUGUCUAAUAAGUGUUCGAGGAUCUGUUCGUCUGACAUAAAGGCCAUAAAAAACCUUUAAAUAGAUUUAUAUCUCUCAGUCACUUAACAAGUGGACACAAUAUCUGUUCGUUUCCACAGAAUUAUGUGUUUAAGUCUAGCAGGGCAGCCAUUUCAGGCUACUGCGCACGCGCAUAGGUUUGCAACCUCUCGCCAGAGAAUCCCCUUUACAUGUUGUUGAUGGACGCACGUGUUUGCUGAACAUACAGGACACCAUAUGAUUAAAAACUGCCUCCCUAUCUUGUCAUAAAUAACAGGUAUUUGCAUGAUUUUUACCAUUUUAUAAUCUGUAUGUCGUAUUUUUGGUAUUUUGUACAAGAGUACUAAGUAUUUUGAUCAUAGCGAUUACAGUGGUGUAAGUUACCGGAUCGCAGACGACCAUAGACUGUAAAAAAUAGAUCACGACCCACGGUUCGGCUCCCAUGCGAUUCGCGGAUUAAUAUCUAUACAAAGUUUGUCAUUUGCAUGUUUAUUAAAGUCUUGCAAAUGUUAACACUCAAGUGAUUUUUAAACAAUUUAACCACAAAAGUCUGUUUUUACUUUUUACAGUCUCGUUUUGUCACUCUGCAUCUUGUGGCUGAUAAGCUAUUGAAGAAGAGCUGUCCAUCACUUUAUGGACAUUCAAGUUAACAUAAGGUAUUGUAAACGCAAUUUUACCUAAUACUAUCAACUUAAUACAUUUACUGUAAACUGUGCAGUUCUUUACUCAUACAAUUUCAUGUUUUUUUUUCCUAAUCUGCUUUUAUUACUUUGUCUUGUUUUGUUACUCUGCAUCUUUGUGGCCGCCCAUCACUUUGACGACGUUCAAGUUAACAUAAGGUAUUGUAAAAGCAAUGUUGCCUAAUACUAUCAACUUAAUACAUUUACUGUAAACUGUGCAGUUCUUCACUCAUACAAUUUCAUGUUUUUUUUUCCUAAUCUGCUUUUAUUACUUUGUCUUGUUUUGUUACUCUGCAUCUUUGCGGCCGCCCAUCACUUUGACGACGUUCAAGUUAACAUAAGUCCGCUUGCUAUUGAAGAAGAGCUGCCCAUCACUUUGACGACGUUCAAGUUAACAUAAGGUAUUGUAAAAACAAUGUUGGCCUAAUACUAUCAACUUAAUACAUUUACUGUAAACUGUGCAGUUCUUUACUCAUACAAUUUCAUGUUUUUUUUUUCCUAAUCUGCUUUUAUUACUUUGUCUUGUUUUGUUACUCUGCAUCUUUGUGGCCGCCCAUCACUUUGACGACGUUCAAGUUAACAUAAGUCCGCUUGCUAUUGAAGAAGAGCUGCCCAUCACUUUGACGACGUUCAAGUUAACAUAAGUCCGCUUUUACUACUUUGUCUCGUUUGGUCACUCUGCAUCUGUGUGGCUGCAUAGAAGAAGAGCUGCUCAUCACUUUGACGACAUUCAAGUUAACAUAAGCAGUUGGUGCAUUAAGAUACCUCUCAGAGUUAUUGUGUCAUCUCAAGAAAUAAGGUGUGUCACCCUAGAGAGUUUUCCUGAGUCAGUCAAGGAGCUAUGUGUGACAUGGUGCAUCAUUCUGGGCUUGCAAGGAAACUUUCUUCUACACUUUGAGGAUCCAGACUUUGGAAAUGAGCACUGCAAUUUCACCGAUAUUAAAGAUCUACCAUCAGAUCGAGUGACACUGAAAGUUUUGUUGACAGCUUCUGGUUCGGUUUCUGACUUUGCAUUACAAUUACUACUAGUGCCUCAUCAGUGGAAUGGCCUGAUCCUUUUGUUAUUCCUGAUUUCUCUCAUGAUGUUGAACUUCAGUUGAGCGCUGCAAAUGAUGCCUAUGCCAGGGAUGGAACAGUAAUGGUCAUUUCCAAUGGUGUUAAAUACUAGACAAACCAGCUGAUGUGAAAUGUUGACUGUUUCCAAGGUCCAUCGGUUUAUUUUGUAAAAGACUUUCUUAGCGACUGGGUAUUAACAAAAAAGGUUUGGUGAUAGUUAUAUUGCAUUAAUUGUUCUUUAAAAAAAACUAACUCUAAAAUACGUGGCUUUUAAAAUAAUAAUAAUAAUACUAAUAAUUUGAAAAUUAACAGUGCAAAACUAUUUUUAUCAUAUUUGAGUUUUUAUCAGUAAAAGAAACAUUACACAUACCUGUAUCUAUUAUUACAACUAUGGUGUUGAUUUCACAGUUUAAAAACAUUAAAGAAACCCAUAUAAUAUUUAAAUGAAAUUUGUUUUUAAUAAACAUUUGUAAUAUUCAUUUUUAACAAAAAUGCUUUUCCAAGCCAAUGUUACAAAUUGUUCUUGUGCAAAUAAAUAGUUUUUGAGCUAAUAAUUUGCAA